GGAUGGGGGGUCUNGCCUGCCCGGUGAAUAGUGGUGUUAAACGGCCGCAGUAUUCUGACUGUGCAAAGGUAGCGUAAUAAUUNGCCUAUUGAUUGUAGGCCAGUAUGAAUGGCCUGACGAGGGCUGCACUGUCUUUUCGUGAUAUAUUUAGAAGUUACUUUUUAGGUGAAGAGUCCUAAAUGUUGCUAAGGGACGAUAAGACCCUGUCGAGCUUUAGUGGAAUUUUUGAUGCGGCCGGUCAAAGUUGAAGGCGGCCUUUUAUUGCUGGAAUGAAUCUUUGGCUGGGGUGGCCGAGGAGUAGAAGGAACCUUUUGUCUUGGUGUGUUUGCUUUUUGGCAUAGGAUCUAGUUUGUUACGGAAUAUAAAAAAAAGUUACCGCAGGGGUAACAGCGCAAUUCUUUUGGAGAGUUCUUAUUGAGAAAAGAGUUUGCGACCUCCAUGUUGGAUUAGGAUAUCCUGAGGGUGCAGAAAUUCUUAAGGGUUAGUCUGUUCGACUAUUAAAAUCCUACAUGAUCUGAGUUCA
This 523-nucleotide ribosomal RNA is filed under the name Clypidina notata. RNAcentral's name for it is "partial 16S ribosomal RNA". It matches the Rfam family "Bacterial large subunit ribosomal RNA", at positions 1843 to 2613 of the family's 2925-position model. The record is from RNAcentral. Lineage: Eukaryota; Metazoa; Mollusca; Gastropoda; Lepetellida; Fissurellidae.